UUGAACAUUCCCCUGUAGUAGUUCCCCUUCUAUAGGAGUUUCAUUCUGUAGUCCCUGGUGAUCUUCCGGAUGCACUUCUUCCGAUGCAUGAUAUCCAACACGCAAUUGAUCUAGUUUCCGGAGCAUCUCUGCCCAACCUUCCACAACAUAGGCUCAACCCGAAUGCAUAUACUAGGAUCUGGGAUUUAAUGUUACCGACAGUUGAGUUUGCAUAUAAUAGUUCGGUUAAUAAGUCCAUAGGCAUGAGUCCAUUCGAAGUGGUGCAUGAUUACAAACCUAAGCAACCCAUAGACCUAUUUUUUAUAUAUCAUCAGUAUAGAGUCUUUGAGUCUGCACAGUCAUUUGUAUCACAUCCACAUUCAUUAUAUCAAAAAAUCAGCAAUUGUAUUCACUUUAAUAACUUAAAAUAUAAAUCUCUUGCUGAUUUACACAGACGUUAUAAAGAGUUAAGUGAAAGAGGUUAUGUCAUGAUAAGAAUUAGGCUUGAACGACUUUCUUCGGAAACAUUCAAAAAAUUGCAAGCUUGUAGUGCGGAAUCGUUCAAAGUCUUAAAGAAAAUCAGUUCGAAUGCAUAUGUCGUAGAUCUUCCUGAUGACUAUGGGAUUAGUGCAACAUUUAAUAUUGAAAAUUUAGUCCCAUACAAAAAACAACAUUCAUGUCUUCUGACCCCUUUAUUGAUAUACCUGCCCAUGUUGAACAUCCUGACUCAAGGUCCGCUGUACCGGUACCGAUGGCGGUCCGAACCGGUACGUACCGAUCUUGUACCGAUCCGUACCAGUACCGAUACCAGAUUCCAUACUGAUCCGGUACUGGUCUCAGCCCAGACCGGUAUGUACCGGCCUGUACCGGCUGGUAUGGACCGGUACGGCAGACCAUGUCCUGACUUAUUACCUGCUAUUGAGCCACUAGCUCUCAAAUUUUAUGCACACAGAGAACAAAUAGAACAUAUAUUGGAUGAGCAGGUUAUGUCAACCAAGAACGGUGGUUACCAAUGUUACCUUAUUCGGUGAAAAGGUCGAUCAAAGUCUGACGUGACGUGGAUUUUCAGAGCUCAGUUGCAACGCUUUGACCCCGAUCUCCUGGAGCAGUACGACAGCCAGCCAGACCUGUACUCGACGGGGUCGAGUUUUUUCUACCCGGAAGGAGUUGAUGGGGACAUUAGAGCCCUUCAUUCAGAUGAUCCUGAGCCCACGGAUUGAGUCAGACCUGGAUUGUGUCCAUUUGAGUCCGAGUCAUUUUCUUUUAUUGCAUUAUUUGCUUUUGUCUUAGUCAAAUCAAUUUGGUCAAUUAUUUUGUUAUUAGACUAGUCAAUUAGGUUUAUGUAAUUGGGUCAAUAUGUAAGGUCUAUAUAAAGACCACCCCUCUCAUGUAUGAGGCAAUUGAUGAUUGAAUGAAAAAAAAUCCUAGCCUCCUUCUUGUUNNNNNNNNNNNNNNNNNNNNCCUUGAACAUUCCCCUGUAGUAGUUCCCCUUCUAUAGGAGUUUCAUUCUGUAGUCCCUGGUGAUCUUCCGGAUGCACUUCUUCCGAUGCAUGAUAUCCAACACGCAAUUGAUCUAGUUUUCGGAGCAUCUCUGCCCAACCUUCCACAACAUAGGCUCAACCCGAAUGCAUAUACUAGGACUUGGGAUUUAAUGUUACCGACAAUUGAUUUUGCAUAUAAUAGUUCGGUUAACAAGUCCAUAGGCAUGAGUCCAUUCGAAGUGGUGCAUGAUUACAAACCUAAACAACCCAUAGACCUAUUUUUUAUAUCUCAUCAGUAUAAAGUCUUUGAGUCUGCACAGUCAUUUGUAUCACAUCCACAUUCAUUGUAUCAAGAAAUCAGCAAUUGUAUUCACUUUAAUAACUUAAAAUAUAAAUCUCUUGCUGAUUUACGCAGACGUUAUAAAGAGUUAAGUGGAAGAGGUUAUGUCAUGAUAAGAAUUAGGCUUGAACGACUUUCUUCGGAAACGUUCAAGAAAUUGCAAGCUUGUAGUGCGGAAUCGUUCAAAGUCUUAAAAAAAAUUAGUUCGAAUGCAUAUGUUGUGGAUCUUCCUGAUGACUAUGGGAUUAGUGCAACAUUUAAUAUUGAAAAUUUAGUCCCAUACAAAAGACAACAUUCAUGUCUUCUGACCCCUUUAUUGAUAUACCUGCCCAUAUUGAACACCCUGACUCAAGAUCCGCUGUACCGGUACCGGUGGCGGUCCGAACCGGUCCGUACCGGUCCCGUACCGAUCUUGUACCGGUCCGUACCGGUACCGGUACCGGAUUUCAUACUGAUCCGGUACUGGUCUCAGCCCAGACCGGUAUGGGCCGGUACAGGCAGACCAUGUCCUGACUUAUUACCUGCUAUUGAGCCACUAGCUCUCAAAUUUUAUGCACGCAGAGAACAAAUAGAACAUAUAUUGGAUGAGCAGGUUAUGUCAACCAAGAACGGUGGUUACCAAUGUUACCUUGUUCGGUGAAAAGGUCGACCAAAGUCUGACGUGACGUGGAUUUUCAGAGCUCAGUUACAACGCCUUGAUCCCGAUCUCCUGGAGCAGUACGACAGCCAGCCAGACCUGUACUUGACGGGGUCGAGUUUUUUCCACCCGGAAGGAGUUGAUGGGGACAUCAGAACCCUUCAUUCAGAUGAUCCUGAGCCCACGGAUUGAGUCAGACCCGGAUUGUGUCCAUUUGAGUCCGAGUCAUUUUCUUUUAUUGCAUUAUUUGCUUUUGUCUUAGUCAAGUCAAUUUAGUCAAUUAUUUUGUUAUUAGACUAGUCAAUUAGGUUUAUGUAAUUGGGUCAAUAUGUAAGGUCUAUAUAAAGACCACCCCUCUCAUGUAUGAGGCAAUUGAUGAUUGAAUGAAAAAAAAUCCUAGCCUCCUUCUUGUUCUUCUUCUUCUUCCUCCUCCUCUUCCCUUCUUCCUGCGUCUCUAUAACCUCUUCUUCCUUCUCCCUCCCUUGUUCUUCCUCCUCUUCCCUUGCAGUUGUGCUACAUCAAGAUAGCAUUCCCCGUUGGACGCUAUCUUCGCAUCUAUAUAAUGAGAUAACAAUCUAGAGUUGUUAUCUCAUUAAAGUAGAUUGGGAUAAAGUUAGGAUAAGAACAUACCAAAUAGGUGAUUUGCUGAUCAUUAUCCCAUUAUCUCUCACAUGAUCUAUAACACAAUCUAUUUGGCAUAAACAAUAUUCUUGGGAUAUUCAAUCACAAGAAUCAUGGUUUAUAUCAAUAGCCUGAGGGGUGAGACUAACAGAAGUUGCUCUUCUCAAAAAAAGAGAAAUAUGCCAAAUGUCCAUCUGACCAGCAUGCAACANN
Molecule: long non-coding RNA, 3271 nt
Filed under: Phoenix dactylifera (date palm)
Lineage: Eukaryota; Viridiplantae; Streptophyta; Magnoliopsida; Arecales; Arecaceae
Description: long non-coding RNA (PDAC_LNC007217)
Source: RNAcentral